This 195-nucleotide ribosomal RNA is filed under the name uncultured bacterium. RNAcentral's name for it is "partial 16S ribosomal RNA". It matches the Rfam family "Bacterial small subunit ribosomal RNA", at positions 340 to 526 of the family's 1533-position model. The record is from RNAcentral.
UACGGGAGGCAGCAGUGGGGAAUAUUGCACAAUGGGCGCAAGCCUGAUGCAGCCAUGCCGCGUGUGUGAAGAAGGCCUUCGGGUUGUAAAGCACUUUCAGCGGGGAGGAAGGCGAUAAGGUUAAUAACCUUGUCGAUUGACGUUACCCGCAGAAGAAGCACCGGCUAACUCCGUGCCAGCAGCCGCGGUAAUAAU